Molecule: non-coding RNA, 58 nt
Filed under: Homo sapiens (human)
Lineage: Eukaryota; Metazoa; Chordata; Mammalia; Primates; Hominidae
Source: RNAcentral
CCCAGGAGAUGGAGGUUGCAGUGUGCUGAGAUCGUGCCACUGCACUCCAGCCUGGGUG